RNAcentral lists this ribosomal RNA (254 nucleotides) under uncultured bacterium. Its description in RNAcentral is "partial 16S ribosomal RNA". It matches the Rfam family "Bacterial small subunit ribosomal RNA", at positions 524 to 776 of the family's 1533-position model. The record is from RNAcentral.
UACGUGAGCCCCAAGCGUUAUCCGGAAUUACUGGGCGUAAAGAGUGCGUAGGUGGUCGUGUUAGUCCUCUCCAAAAUCCAUCGGCUCAACCGAUGAACUUGAGGGGAAACGGCACGACUUUGAGUGCGUGAGAGGUUUGCGGAACUCAUGGUGUAGGGGUGAAAUCCGUUGAUAUCAUGGGGAACACCAAAUGCGAAGGCAGCAAACCGGCGCGUCACUGACGCUGAGGCACGAAAGCGUGGGGAUCAAACAGG